AGGCCUAUUAGCUCAGCUGGUUAGAGCGUCGUGCUAAUAACGCGAAAGUAACAGGUUNGAACCCUUGACGCCUC
Molecule: transfer RNA, 74 nt
Filed under: Triticum aestivum (bread wheat)
Lineage: Eukaryota; Viridiplantae; Streptophyta; Magnoliopsida; Poales; Poaceae
Description: tRNA_PseudoAAT
Rfam family: tRNA
About the family: Transfer RNA (tRNA) molecules are approximately 80 nucleotides in length. Their secondary structure includes four short double-helical elements and three loops (D, anti-codon, and T loops).
Source: RNAcentral